CACGUAGGGGGCGAGCGUUGUUCGGAAUUACUGGGCGUAAAGGGCAUGUAGGCGGUCUUGUAAGCUUGGCGUGAAAUACCACGGCUCAACCGUGGGAAUGCGUUGAGAACUGCGAGGCUUGAGUGACGGAGAGGGAGCUAGAAUUCCUGGUGUAGGGGUGGAAUCUGUAGAGAUCAGGAAGAAUACCAAUGGCGAAGGCAAGCUCCUGGCCGAUGACUGACGCUGAGGUGCGAAAGUGUGGGGAUCAAACAGG
This 253-nucleotide ribosomal RNA is filed under the name uncultured bacterium. Its description in RNAcentral is "partial 16S ribosomal RNA". It matches the Rfam family "Bacterial small subunit ribosomal RNA", at positions 524 to 776 of the family's 1533-position model. The record is from RNAcentral.